AAAUUUCAACAUGUUUUUCUUAAAUAGAAAUUCUGCUGAGCCAUGAGAAACUGUGCUCAGCAUUUCAUUUCACUUGGGUUUCUGAACCUGAACCAUUUGGUUAAUAAUACCACUACUAAUGAUAAAAGUAAUAAAAUGGAACAUGGAAGAAGAUCCACAACACAGAAAAGCAAUGAGGGUGCUGCUAUAAAGCUAACAGCAGCUCACCCAGGUCCAGACUUCCUGUAAUGCACAGUAAGAAUGUUACUGUGGUAGCCCGAGGUGGUGGAGAGUAAUAAGGAAAAGAGCAAAGAACCAAUGAUGUCACACUCACACACUAAAAUGGCAGUGCAACAAUUGAGAGCUCAAAACUUUUACAAUUCAAUGAAAACCUGACAGUGUCACCCUGGGAAUUUCAACCAGAGAAUACGGAGUUGAGACGAUGUUAAUUAUCAAUAAGGCACACAGGUCAGUUAUACUUGAGACAGACGUGGUUCAGUGUAAAAUAAACAUGUUGACAGCUAUUUAAAAUACAAAAUAAGUGAGCCAAUGAAUUGAUUGUACAUGCACAAUUCAGAGCUGUGGAUUACCAGUGGGUGAAUACUAGAUGAGAAGGUCCAGAAAAAUCACCGACUCGUACAUACAGCUCACCUUCACACACUCACACUAUGAGUGUGUGAAAUAUAAAUUAAAAAAAUAAAAACAUAUCAGCAGUCGAUUGAAGGCUUCAGGGAAAUAAUCUGCAGGUGAUCUCUGCAAAACAUGAGUAACACCAAUCAACAAAAGUGUAGCCAAUUCAGGCUGAGGCAGCAGCUACAUGUAGGCAAGUCCUACCUGUGACAGCUGGGAAGUCAGGUGACCAAAGAGCUGGAUGUGUACAGCAACAGGUGAGCAAGUCAGGGAUGCUCAGAUAUCUAAUGUGAUUGGCCACUAACAGUGGCUAAUAAUGCAAUAUGGAAAUAUAGUACUCAUUCUGCUACAUCAAUAUAAAAAAAGACUGUAACAAAAGUAAUGCUAAUAUGACGACAAGUCAGAGUUACACACUGAUCAAAUAGCGUUCCCCGAGUCUACAAAAAAAGCAACAAAUAGUUUUCUGCAGCUCCACCUGUAAACAACCCAAAUAUUUGAACUUAUAAUAUAUAAAAGAGUAAAUGACAACAGUAAUCUGUGGAGGAAAGUCUUCUGACCAAGUAAGAAUCCACAGCCUCUGCAAAAGCACAAGUUGAAGUUCAGGAUAUUUAAUUUUCUGUCCAUUUCCAGGUGAGGUUGUGAUAAUUGGAAGAUUUGAACCAAUCAUCGCCCAACA
This 1285-nucleotide long non-coding RNA is filed under the name Oreochromis niloticus (Nile tilapia). RNAcentral's name for it is "lncRNA (ENSONIG00000038169.1)". Lineage: Eukaryota; Metazoa; Chordata; Actinopteri; Cichliformes; Cichlidae. The record is from RNAcentral.